AGUGAACGCUGGCGGUAGGCCUAACACAUGCCAGUCGAACGGCAGCACAGUAAGAGCUUGCUCUUACGGGUGGCGAGUGGCGGACGGGUGAGGAAUACAUCGGAAUCUACUUUUUCGUGGGGGAUAACGUAGGGAAACUUACGCUAAUACCGCAUACGACCUACGGGUGAAAGCAGGGGAUCUUCGGACCUUGCGCGAUUGAAUGAGCCGAUGUCGGAUUAGCUAGUUGGCGGGGUAAAGGCCCACCAAGGCGACGAUCCGUAGCUGGUCUGAGAGGAUGAACAGCCACACUGGAACUGAGACACGGUCCAGACUCCUACGGGAGGCAGCAGUGGGGAAUAUUGGACAAUGGGCGCAAGCCUGAUCCAGCCAUACCGCGUGGGUGAAGAAGGCCUUCGGGUUGUAAAGCCCUUUUGUUGGGAAAGAAAAGCAGCAGGUUAAUACCCCGCUGUUCUGACGGUACCCAAAGAAUAAGCACCGGCUAACUUCGUG
RNAcentral lists this ribosomal RNA (492 nucleotides) under uncultured bacterium. Its description in RNAcentral is "partial 16S ribosomal RNA". It matches the Rfam family "Bacterial small subunit ribosomal RNA", at positions 29 to 507 of the family's 1533-position model. The record is from RNAcentral.